UACGUGAGAAUCUGCCUUUAGGAGGGGAAUAACAAUUGGAAACGAUUGCUAAUGCCCCAUAUGCUGAGAAGUGAAAGGAGCAAUCCGCCUGAAGAUGAGCUCACGCCUGAUUAGCUAGUUGGUAGAUUAAAAGCCUACCAAGGCAACGAUCAGUAGCUGGUUUGAGAGGAUGAUCAGCCACACUGGGACUGAGAUACGGCCCAGACUUCUACGGAAGGCAGCAGUGGGGAAUUUUCCGCAAUGGGCGAAAGCCUGACGGAGCAAUACCGCGUGAGGGAAGAAUGCCUGUGGGUUGUAAAG
RNAcentral lists this ribosomal RNA (300 nucleotides) under uncultured bacterium. RNAcentral's name for it is "bacterial SSU rRNA". It matches the Rfam family "Bacterial small subunit ribosomal RNA", at positions 114 to 430 of the family's 1533-position model. The record is from RNAcentral.